UAGUGGCGGAUUGGUGAGUAACGCGUGAGGAACCUGCCUUUCAGAGGGGGACAACAGUUGGAAACGACUGCUAAUACCGCAUGAAGCAGCGAGGGGACAUCCCCUUGCUGUCAAAGAUUUAUCGCUGAAAGAUGGCCUCGCGUCUGAUUAGCUAGUUGGUGGGGUAACGGCCCACCAAGGCGACGAUCAGUAGCCGGACUGAGAGGUUGACCGGCCACAUUGGGACUGAGAUACGGCCCAGACUCUUACAGGAGGCAGCAGUGGGGAAUAUUGGGCAAUGGACGCAAGUCUGACCGAGCAACGCCGCGUGAAGGAAGAAGGCUUUCGGGUUGUAAACUUCUUUUAACAGGGAAGAGAAGAAGGCGGUACCUGUUGAAUAAGCCACGGCUAACUACGUGCCAGCAGCCGCGGUAAUACGUAGGUGGCAAGCGUUGUCCGGAUUUUCUGGGUGUAAAGGGCGUGUAGCCGGGAAGGCAAGUCAGAUGUGAAAUUUGGAGGCUCAACCUCCAAACUGCAUUUGAAACUGCUUUUCUUGAGUAUCGGAGAGGUAAUCGGAAUUCCUUGUGUAGCGGUGAAAUGGGUAGAUAUAAGGAAGAACACCAGUGGCGAAGGCGGAUUACUGGACGACAACUGACGGUGAGGCGCGAAAGCGUGGGGAGCAAACAGGAUUAGAUACCCUGGUAGUCCACGCUGUAAACGAUCAAU
This 705-nucleotide ribosomal RNA is filed under the name uncultured bacterium. Its description in RNAcentral is "bacterial SSU rRNA". It matches the Rfam family "Bacterial small subunit ribosomal RNA", at positions 93 to 814 of the family's 1533-position model. The record is from RNAcentral.